Molecule: ribosomal RNA, 279 nt
Filed under: uncultured bacterium
Lineage: Bacteria
Description: partial 16S ribosomal RNA
Rfam family: Bacterial small subunit ribosomal RNA
Source: RNAcentral
UGCCAGCCGUCGCGGUAAUACGUAGGGAGCAAACGUUGUCCGGAUUUAUUGGGCGUAAAGGGCUCGUAGGCGGUUCAACAAGUCGGUCGUGAAAGCCCGGGGCUCAACCCCGGAACUGCCUCUGAUACUGGUAGUCUUGAGUUCGAGAGAGGUGAGUGGAAUUCCGAGUGUAGAGGUGAAAUUCGUAGAUAUUCGGAGGAACACCAGAGGCGAAGGCGGUCUCUUGGUCCGAAACUGACGCUGAGGCGCGAAAGCGUGGGGAGCAAACAGGAUUAGAUA